Molecule: ribosomal RNA, 251 nt
Filed under: uncultured bacterium
Lineage: Bacteria
Description: partial 16S ribosomal RNA
Rfam family: Bacterial small subunit ribosomal RNA
Source: RNAcentral
CACGCCGUAAACGAUGAGUACUAGGUGUAGGGGGUAUCGACCCCCCCUGUGCCGCAGUAAACACAAUAAGUACUCCGCCUGGGAAGUACGAUCGCAAGAUUAAAACUCAAAGGAAUUGACGGGGACCCGCACAAGCAGCGGAGCAUGUGGUUUAAUUCGAAGCAACGCGCAGAACCUUACCAACCCUUGACAUCGGGAUCGCGGAUUACAGAGAUGUUUUCCUUCAGUUCGGCUGGAUCCCAGACAGGUGC